AGAGUUUGAUCCUGGCUCAGAUUGAACGCUGGCGGCAUGCCUUACACAUGCAAGUCGAACGGCAGCACGAGAGCUUGCUCUUGGUGGCGAGUGGCGAACGGGUGAGUAAUAUAUCGGAACGUACCCUAGAGUGGGGGAUAACGUAGCGAAAGUUACGCUAAUACCGCAUACGAUCUACGGAUGAAAGUGGGGGAUCGCAAGACCUCAUGCUCAUGGAGCGGCCGAUAUCUGAUUAGCUAGUUGGUGGGGUAAAAGCUCACCAAGGCGACGAUCAGUAGCUGGUCUGAGAGGACGACCAGCCACACUGGAACUGAGACACGGUCCAGACUCCUACGGGAGGCAGCAGUGGGGAAUUUUGGACAAUGGGCGCAAGCCUGAUCCAGCAAUGCCGCGUGAGUGAAGAAGGCCUUCGGGUUGUAAAGCUCUUUUGUCAGGGAAGAAACGGUGGACUCUAAUACAGAUCACUAAUGACGGUACCUGAAGAAUAAGCACCGGCUAACUACGUGCCAGCAGCCGCGGUAAUACGUAGGGUGCAAGCGUUAAUCGGAAUUACUGGGCGUAAAGCGUGCGCAGGCGGUUGUGCAAGACAGAUGUGAAAUCCCCGGGCUCAACCUGGGAAUUGCAUUUGCGACUGCACGGCUAGAGUGUGUCAGAGGGGGGUAGAAUUCCACGUGUAGCAGUGAAAUGCGUAGAGAUGUGGAGGAAUACCGAUGGCGAAGGCAGCCCCCUGGGAUAACACUGACGCUCAUGCACGAAAGCGUGGGGAGCAAACAGGAUUAGAUACCCUGGUAGUCCACGCCCUAAACGAUGUCUACUAGUCGUCGGGUCUUAAUUGACUUGGUAACGCAGCUAACGCGUGAAGUAGACCGCCUGGGGAGUACGGUCGCAAGAUUAAAACUCAAAGGAAUUGACGGGGACCCGCACAAGCGGUGGAUGAUGUGGAUUAAUUCGAUGCAACGCGAAAAACCUUACCUACCCUUGACAUGUCUGGAAUCCUUGAGAGAUCAGGGGGUGCUCGAAAGAGAAUCAGAACACAGGUGCUGCAUGGCUGUCGUCAGCUCGUGUCGUGAGAUGUUGGGUUAAGUCCCGCAACGAGCGCAACCCUUGUCAUUAGUUGCUACGAAAGGGCACUCUAAUGAGACUGCCGGUGACAAACCGGAGGAAGGUGGGGAUGACGUCAAGUCCUCAUGGCCCUUAUGGGUAGGGCUUCACACGUCAUACAAUGGUACAUACAGAGGGCCGCCAACCCGCGAGGGGGAGCUAAUCCCAGAAAGUGUAUCGUAGUCCGGAUUGUAGUCUGCAACUCGACUACAUGAAGUUGGAAUCGCUAGUAAUCGCGGAUCAGCAUGUCGCGGUGAAUACGUUCCCGGGUCUUGUACACACCGCCCGUCACACCAUGGGAGCGGGUUUCACCAGAAGUGGGUAGCCUAACCGCAAGGAGGGCGCUCACCACGGUGGGAUUCGUGACUGGGGUGAAGUCGUAACAAGGUA
This 1491-nucleotide ribosomal RNA is filed under the name metagenome. Its description in RNAcentral is "bacterial SSU rRNA". It matches the Rfam family "Bacterial small subunit ribosomal RNA". The record is from RNAcentral.